GAGGGGUCAGCUGAGGUGGCUUGGGCAUCUGUUUCGGAUGCCUCCGGAACGCCUUCCUGGGAACGUGUUCCGGUCCCGUCCCACCGGGAAGAGACCCCGGGGAAGACCUAGGACACGCUGGAGGGACUAUGUCUCCCGGCUGGCCUGGGAACGCCUCGGUGUCCCCCCGGAAGAGCUGGAGGAAGUGUCUGGGGAGAGGGAAGUCUGGGCAUCCCUGCUUAGACUGCUGCCCCCGCGACCCGGCCCCGGAUGAGCGGAAGAUGAUGCGAUGCGACAUUCUGUGAUUUUCAAUUAACAACUAUAGAAAAUCAAUCGUGUUCUUUGUUGUUUUUGUUCUGCUGUAUGAAUGCAUUGGGUAUAUAACUGAAAGCCUUCCAAUACAGAACGACAAUCAAAGUUUGAUGACCACAUCAUUACUACUGGAACCUAUAGGUCUUUAAUCCUCCUCAGUACCACAUUAUUACUACUGGAACCUAUAGGUCUUUAAUCCUCCUCAGUACCACAUCAUUACUACUGGAACCUAUAGGUCUUUAAUCCUCCUCAGUACCACAUCAUUACUACUGGAACCUAUAGGUCUUUAAUCCUCAGUACCACAUCAUUACUUGACUCUGUGAUAUUAAUGUCCAUAACCAUGAAUGUCUAGUACUCACCAUGAAGUAUGUAGUUUCCCUGUUUACCUGCUCUGUGUUGCUGUGUUC
Esox lucius (northern pike) is the source of this 698-nucleotide long non-coding RNA. NCBI's taxonomy places the organism in Eukaryota, Metazoa, Chordata, Actinopteri, Esociformes, Esocidae. The record is from Ensembl.